CCACAGGAGCGACCCAGGCAAGCGGAAGCAACCGGGAAAGGGAGGAGAGAAAGGCGGAACUCUCUCCGCCCGGAGAGUCUCCGGGCUGAACCGGGGAGGAGCUCCGAGGCCUAGUAGGCAGGCUGGCUGGCUGGCUGGCUAUCCAGCCCUGCUUGCUACUCUGGGUGGCUCCGCCCGCAGCAGCGAGCGGGCGCUGACUGAGGCGAUGAGGAGAAGGAGAACGACGGGGUACUGUUGUAAACAUUCAUCUGGAAGACAAAAAACAGACAGCAGGCUCUUGUCUCCCCCAGCCCCCAUCUUUGCUCAAGCCUCCACUCCUACUGCACAGUCCAAUGGCAAGGACAAGUAGAGACCUAUAAUUGUAGAAACAAUGAAAUGAUCAACUACACUAGAUUUAUGUUUAUCCAGUCAACCAAUGGGACAAGAGAAUGGAACUCACUAAAGUCUGGCAAGAUGGAAACCUUAUUCCUGAGAUAUAUAGGGACUAAGAGUCAUCUGUACAGGCUGGAAAAGCAGCUUAGCCACUGAUAACUUUAAAAUCAAGCAUGCUAUUUCCAUUUUAUCUGCUUGGUGUAAACAAAUAAAAGAACAGAAGGUACCUUGAUGAAGUGUGAC
Molecule: long non-coding RNA, 615 nt
Filed under: Pogona vitticeps (central bearded dragon)
Lineage: Eukaryota; Metazoa; Chordata; Lepidosauria; Squamata; Agamidae
Description: lncRNA (ENSPVIG00000004309.1)
Source: RNAcentral